UACAGAGGUCUCAAGCGUUGUUCGGAUUCAUUGGGCGUAAAGGGUGCGUAGGCGGCGCGGUAAGUCGGGUGUGAAAAUCAGGGCUCAACCCUGGACCUGCAUUCGAUACGGGCAGACUAGAGUUCGGCAGGGGAGACUGGAAUUCCUGGUGUAGCGGUGAAAUGCGCAGAUAUCAGGAGGAACACCGGUGGCGAAGGCGGGUCUCUGGGCCGAUACUGACGCUGAGGAGCGAAAGCGUGGGGAGCGAACAGG
RNAcentral lists this ribosomal RNA (252 nucleotides) under uncultured bacterium. Its description in RNAcentral is "partial 16S ribosomal RNA". It matches the Rfam family "Bacterial small subunit ribosomal RNA", at positions 524 to 776 of the family's 1533-position model. The record is from RNAcentral.